AUUUCCCUCUUUCUUCAUGCUUUACACAUGCAAGUCGAACGGUAACAGGCCGCAAGGUGCUGACGAGUGGCGAACGGGUGAGUAAUGCAUCGGAACGUGCCCAGUCGUAGGGUAUAACUACUCGAAAGAGUAGCUAAUACCGCCUACGAUCUCUGGCUGACAGCGGGGGACCGUAAGGCCUCGCCCGAUUGGACCGGCCGAUGUCAGAUUAGGUAGUUGGAGGGGUAAAGGCUCACCAAGCCAACGAUCUGUAGCUGGUCUGAGAGGACGACCAGCCACACUGGAACUGAGACACGGCCCAGACUCCUACGGGAGGCAGCAGUGGGGAAUUUUGGACAAUGGGCGCAAGCCUGAUCCAGCAAUGCCGCGUGGAGGAAGAAGGCCUUCGGGUUGUAAACUGCUUUUGUAGGGAACGAAACGGAGCAGGUUAAUACCCGGGGGUAAUGACGGUACCGUAAGAAUAAGCACCGGCUAACUACGUG
Molecule: ribosomal RNA, 482 nt
Filed under: uncultured bacterium
Lineage: Bacteria
Description: partial 16S ribosomal RNA
Rfam family: Bacterial small subunit ribosomal RNA
Source: RNAcentral